This 428-nucleotide ribosomal RNA is filed under the name uncultured eukaryote. RNAcentral's name for it is "SSU rRNA". It matches the Rfam family "Eukaryotic small subunit ribosomal RNA", at positions 592 to 1018 of the family's 1831-position model. The record is from RNAcentral.
CAAUAGCGUAUAUUAAAGUUGUUGCGGUUAAAAGACUCGUAGUUGGAUUUCUGCCGAGGACGACCGGUCCGCCCUCUGGGUGAGUAUCUGGCUUGGCCUGGGCAUCUUCUUGGAGAACGUAGCUGCACUUGACUGUGUGGUGCGGUAUCCAGGAACUUUUACUUUGAGGAAAUUACAAUGUUUCAAGCAGGCAUGCGCCUUGAAUACAUUAGCAUGGAAUAAUAAGAUAGGACCUUGGUUCUAUUUUGUUGGUUUCUAGAGCUGAGGGUAAUGAUUAAUAGGGAUAGUUGGGGGCAUUCGUAUUUAACUGUCAGAGGUGAAGUUCUUGGAUCUGUUAAAGACGGACUACUGCGAAAGUCAUUUUGCCAAGGAUAGUUUUCGAUUGAUCAAGAACGAAAGUUAGGGGAUCGAAGACGAUCAGAUACCGU